UACGUAGGGUGCGAGCGUUAAUCGGAAUUACUGGGCGUAAAGCGUGCGCAGGCGGUUUUGUAAGCCAGAUGUGAAAGCCCCGGGCUUAACCUGGGAAUGGCAUUUGGGACUGCAAGGCUUGAGUGCGGCAGAGGAGACUGGAAUUCCUGGUGUAGCGGUGAAAUGCGCAGAUAUCAGGAGGAACACCGAUGGCGAAGGCAGGUCUCUGGGCAUUAACUGACGCUGAGAAGCGAAAGCGUGGGGAGCGAACAGGA
Molecule: ribosomal RNA, 254 nt
Filed under: uncultured bacterium
Lineage: Bacteria
Description: partial 16S ribosomal RNA
Rfam family: Bacterial small subunit ribosomal RNA
Source: RNAcentral